Molecule: long non-coding RNA, 1181 nt
Organism: Ceratitis capitata (Mediterranean fruit fly)
Lineage: Eukaryota; Metazoa; Arthropoda; Insecta; Diptera; Tephritidae
Exons: 3
Source: RefSeq, a predicted model, not a curated record
AUUGGAACUAUCUAUUAUUUUGAUCUUCCACGAAUUUUAGACGGGAAUUGUAUUUAGUAUUUCAAAAUUAUUUGCAGGAAUUUUUCGCUAUGAAAAAUAUUGGCGUAUUUUGAAUGAGCACCGAAGAUUGGAAGACUAACUGCUAUCCCUAAAUUAAAGCGUUGAGCGCCAAAUAUCUGUCAAAAGUCCUCAUGUUCAUAUCUACGAUUUGUAUGAGACAUCCCACAAUAAUGCGGCAUCAACGUUGAACAAAUGAAUUUUCAAUUUUGACAGCGCGUUAUAUGAUAAAGUGCGAAAUAAAGGAGAAAAAACUGACGAAGAGUAAUAGGCAAUAGCUUGCAAAUGAAAUGAUAAAUAUUCCCGGAAAAAUUUAUUCAACUGGUGGAGGCACAAUUUAAUUCUUUAUGAUCACCAUUUUAUGGCAAUGCCCAUGAGGCCUGAACGAAUUAUUUCACCAAUUACUCAUGUUGUCAUACCACAGACAUGUCGAAGGUCAUAAUAAUCACUAAUUAAUUUUUAAGACCAAUAAUUCGCUAACGAUUUUUGCUAAUGAAUACUUUGAAACAACAAAAUGAACUUUUCAUUGCGAUAAAAGUAUUGAACAAACUAGUGUUGAAACUAGUUGAAUUGAGUGGAGUAUUUUCAAGAACGGAAUUACACAUUUUAGAGUGGAUUUUGCGUACUUAAGCCUUUCAUUGAUCCUCUGUCACGUUGUUCAACCAGGCGAGGAUUGACAAAGAAAAGAAGAACUAGAUUUAGCCGGAAAAAGCUAUAACGGCAACACUGGUGGCUCGGUAAUGAGACCAGUCUCCAAAUUAUCGGCACGAAAAGUCAACCACUUUGGGUAUAUUUCUGACAUGAAAUCAGAGCAACUCAUAAACAAAUCCAUUAACCGAUCCGAGGCGGCUAAAAAUGAACUUUAGGCUCCUUCAUUUAUUGGGAAAACAUCAAGUCCUACAACAUCAUUUUAAUUUAUUACACCGUAAAGAACAUCUUUUGGCAAUAAUUCAGCGUAAGCCGCAGGUAAUAUGGAUUUUUCGCGGUUUUGUGCUUUUUCUUUAGUGAUAUUUUGCGCUUUGGAAGUAUCUUCGUCGCUUCCAAAAACGGUAAAGCUACAACACUUAGCCUAAAAUGAAUGCCUAUAAAACUGUGAACUCUUUGUAAGGAUAUUGCAAUGAUUA